UUGCAGCCCAGAUGCUGCCAAACACAAGCAAUCAAUGGAAGGAAUGGCACAAUGAGCAGACAAGCAUGUGGAAGCAGCUUAUGAAGAAAUAGUUAAAUGCCGAGCUUUGUCCCAGCUGAUGCCGUGAUAACUCCUGACCUGAUGGUAAGAAGUAUCUUCUAGCAGGUGGGAUGAAGAAGACAUGUCAGACUUUGGGCUUCACUGAUACAAUUCCAACUGUGCCUGCUUCCAGAAAAAAAAGAAGACAGCAGAAACAUCAGCUUCCAGAAUUCCAUGCCUUUUCUAGAAGAUAAAUAGAAAUCAAUAGCACAAGAAUAUAGCCUGAAUUCAGGCUAAAUUAGAGAAACUGAACAAGACCUCCUUGCUUUCUGAGAUCUGUUCUUGAUUAUAAGAGAAUGAACUUCUGUGAACAAAUAAGCAAGUGGCUUUAAAAGAAAACUGGAGAAAUAGCAAACAGUGAUGCACAGAGACAUCUUGGGCAGAAAAGGGAUGGAGUGAAUACUGAAUUGACUUUCAUAUGCUUGGGCUUUCUGGUGUCCACUGAAGAGAUGAUAAGCAAAAAGGAUUAAAAAAUAACUUUCUAAUUUAUAAAUCCAAUAUCUGCUUCAUGUUCCUAUCAAGAAGAUAUCAAAGAAAAAGAGACAAUGGAGAUCAAGGAUAAGAACAGGUAAAAAAACAUUAACCAAGCAAAAGAAUUUACUGUUAGGCUGGCAUGCUCUUGCUCAAACAUCCAUGGUCAGUAAUUUAAAGAAGUCUGAAACUUGGCUAGUGUUUGUAUAAAAUUGCUAUUUUUAAAGGUGAAAUUAUUUUCUUAAAUUACAAAAUAUUCUAUAGGUGCCAGGUUCUGCUGCAUUUCCUUAUGAAUUGUCUCCAUGAAAUUAAUGAGAACUGCUUGAAAAGACUCCUGUGUUUAAAGGGUUCAUAGUCUAACUUUCAGUUUACAGUCCAUUCACUAUAGCACUUUUAUAUAGUAAACAAGUGAAAGUUUCCUUCCUGUGCUUGCCUAACUCAGAAUUCAACAGAUUGUUUCACUGGGAUGAAUGUAUAUUCUUGCCAACACCUAAAAUGCAAAGCAAGUUCUUUGUGCCAACAUGUCUACGCAAAGUUAAUGAGAUAAGUGUUUACUUGUUGUAAACACUUACAAAACAUAAAGUUGUAAUUAGAAAUGUUCUUAUUUCAGUGGCCCUGCAGGAAGAAGACAGCUUCCACCCUCAGCCUUGCAAUCUGCAGAUUCCCCCUUGAUGUUCUUUAAUGUAUAGCCUCUGUUUUUUCCUGUGUGUUAAGAAGGUGGGCUUUGCAUUGUGUUAGACAGUGGUUGUUAGCAAUAGCUGACUACUCUUUCAGGAUCUGUUCCACUGGUUCCCUGGGUAAUUCUGUGAAAACUCAUGGAAGUUAUAUAUGUCCAUUGCCAUUGACUGUGGGAUAGAAAAUCUGGGGCUUUGAAUCUCUCUUUUUUUGCAGGUUAGUUAACUAGGCCCUUCUAAUGCAAAUCUUAUACAUGUGGGCAUCUCUGAGGAUUUUUUCACUUCUCUGUGUUUACCCAGAAGAGGAUGACCUGUGUGCUUUCUUCCCCUUUUCCUCCCUUCCUCUUAUUAGCCUUACAUGUGACUCAUGUUUCUUCUUCUGUGCCACCUGUCCUUCUGUUUUCUGAAGCAUAAAUUGUAGCUUGUAUUUCUCUAUGGAAUUGUGUUAUGAGUGAGACAGAACUGAUACAGAGGUGGAAAAGAGCUAUGAUUAUCUGGAAGGAUAUUGCUGGAUAUCAUCCACUAUCUGAUGAAGAGAUAUUUGUAGAAGUGCUCAAAGUUGUGGUUUUUCACAAUUUUUAAAACUACUUGUCUUGUAUUUCCUUCUAUUUUGUAUUCUAGUUUUCUCUAAAUACAAAGGACUCUGUUGACUGAUGCCUAGAAAACAUUAUGAAACUUUGAAGUAUUAUUGAAUGUAAUAUUCAGCAAAAAUAGAUAUCAAUAAAUACUACUUAAAAUGUUUAA
Agelaius phoeniceus (red-winged blackbird) is the source of this 1988-nucleotide non-coding RNA. The record is from RefSeq and is a predicted model, not a curated record. Lineage: Eukaryota; Metazoa; Chordata; Aves; Passeriformes; Icteridae.